RNAcentral lists this small nucleolar RNA (129 nucleotides) under Chinchilla lanigera (long-tailed chinchilla). RNAcentral describes it as "Small nucleolar RNA SNORA70 (ENSCLAG00000018355.1)". It matches the Rfam family "Small nucleolar RNA SNORA70". Rfam says of the family: snoRNA U70 seems to be exclusive to mammals and is a member of the H/ACA class of snoRNA which contain H (ANANNA) and ACA box motifs. H/ACA box snoRNAs are involved in the conversion of uridines to pseudouridines (5-ribosyluracil) a constituent of structural RNAs (transfer, ribosomal, small nuclear, and small nucleolar). Lineage: Eukaryota; Metazoa; Chordata; Mammalia; Rodentia; Chinchillidae. The record is from Rfam by way of RNAcentral.
AGGCUGAGAGCCGUGCUGUCCUCUUUCCCUCAUGGGGCCGGGUGAGCUGUGGUUGCCAACGGCAGUCCCCCGGCAGUGUGUGCAGCCUAUUGCUUGCUCGGAUUGCCCAACAGGACCUUAGGAAAAGCC